CAGCAGAGAUAUAAAUCAACGUUUAUGAGCGACCCUCACCGCCGUGGAGCUGUGGUCCUCAUCUAAAUCGAACGUGUACAGAUUAUUGUAGGCAACUAUCGUGUUGUAUCAUCUGCAAAUGCUCAGUUCGUGCGGGAGUUUUUUUCCCAAUGUGCAGUGCCGACCGUGCAGAGGCCGGGAGUCAAGGCGGAGGAUGAGAUCGGGAGGCCGCGCGGCUCCACGCCGGCAUCGUCGCCGCCGCUUCACAAGUUGUAACCAAUAUAGAAAAGCUAUAUGACUCGAUCCAGGAUCUCCCGGCUCUUUCUGAUCCCGUCUCACCACAAACUUUUAAUCUUUUUUCUUUUGAGUAGAAUUUUAAUCUUUUUAGUUCCAAGUUCUGAACAUAUGAAGAUCCAACAUCUAAUUUAUUUCUCAUAGAUGAGUGAUGGACGAUGCAGCGGAGGAGGCAUACCGAUGGCAGGUUGUAGCAAAUCAGGAGGCCGCCGCCGUCGGCGGACGCUGCCGAGUGGAGAAACUACGUGGACGGUGGACGCUGCCGAGUGGAAAAACUACAUCGGACUGGUGAGAUAACUGAAAUUUCAUAACAGCGACUCCAUGCAUGGUAUGUUCCCCUUUUGCCAUAUUUUACAUACGCAUCUUAUAUAUUCUUUGAGAUCUAAGCCCUUAGAGACAAUAGAUUCUGAUCUUCUGGUCUUUGCCUGCUGAUGCUUUUAUUAUUCAAAGUGGUUCAGUUCCAGUACGUACAGACUAGCCAUAUUAUGACUUGCAGGAUUUUUUUUACUUUUUGUACAUUCUCAUUUAAGUUUUCUUGCGAUAGCACACUAAUUAACAGAAAAAACUUAUGGCAUAUGACCUUUUCUAUGUGUGACGUAUAUGUAAAGUUAGUUUUCUCUUAAAAAAAUCAUCCGUCGAUAAGCUGAAUUAGAGGGAAAUUCAUGGAAAGUGAACCAACAUACAAACCAUAGUAAUAAUCCCAGUGAACUAGCUCUACAGACUAGCAUACAUGUUAUUUAGAAACAAGGGGUUUGCCAUGCUACAACAGAUCCCUGACUAAAUUUAUCUAUUCUACUUGGUCUUUUGAUUUGAAACAUCUAUAUAUUCCUCAUAAACAUAUUGGUUUUGCUACCAGCAGUAGGUGAUUUCUUUGUUCUGCAGCUGGGAUUUCAGUAAAAAAAUGUUUAACCUUCAGUGAAUAUGCACAGUACCAAGACUUUGUUCUGCAGCUCGCACGCCUCAUCCGUGGCGAGAGGGCCUAGGCUGCACUGUGCGCGUCGUCAUCUUAGCCAGUUGUGUUAAUCGGUGGAAAUGCGAGAGGGCCACGCCUCACUAGUAAUCUUGUCGAUUGCCUCUGAACCUGAAUGAACAUCCUUGCUCGUUUAGUUCUGUGUGUCCAUAUGAUAUAUGCUUUGCUAUUUUAUCCUGUUGUUCCUUUUGAUCCAUGUGACUGUUGCAAUCAACUCUCACAUGUACCAUGAUGCUAACUGGUAGAUUAGGACAAGAGAUGUUUCUAUUUUGCACUGCUCAUACUGUACAUACUGUGAUUCAUCUGAUGGGUUUCUUGCACCUGCAAAUGACAGCGUCAUGAUGUUGUCAACGGUAUGGCUGAGGCAGAAGGUGUAACCAAAUAUGAUGCAGGUGAAGCUGCUGCAGAUCAGAAAGAGCAAAAAGGUUCAACAACCAUGAAAUCCUAGCCGAGGACGUGCGAGACUGGGAUAUAGCCAGUGACCGGGGGCAAGGGCAGCGUGCGCAUGGUGAUCGACGAGGACUACUGCAGCCCGAUGGGAGUCGUGCUCUUCAACUACUCGGAGGCAGACUUCACCGUGAAGCCCCACGAUCGCGUCAUACAGAUUAUCGUCCAGGUGAUUGCGACGCAGGAGGUCCCCGGGGUGGAGGACCUCGACGCCACCGUCCGAACGUCGCCGAGGUGGAGGACGACGCCACCGUCCGGAGUUCCUCAAGGUGGAGGACCUCGACGCUUUGUACAUACAUCUAGAGAAGUGGUCUGGUUAGGUUGGCGGUGAAAUCCUAGGGAAGGUACCAACCUAUGAUGGUUGUGUGUGUCCUCGUGAUCUCUUCGAGUUGAGAUGU
Molecule: long non-coding RNA, 2088 nt
Organism: Triticum aestivum (bread wheat)
Lineage: Eukaryota; Viridiplantae; Streptophyta; Magnoliopsida; Poales; Poaceae
Exons: 3
Source: RefSeq, a predicted model, not a curated record